RNAcentral lists this transfer RNA (77 nucleotides) under Victivallales bacterium. RNAcentral describes it as "tRNA-His". It matches the Rfam family "tRNA". From Rfam's summary of the family: Transfer RNA (tRNA) molecules are approximately 80 nucleotides in length. The record is from RNAcentral. Lineage: Bacteria; Pseudomonadati; Lentisphaerota; Lentisphaeria; Victivallales.
GUGCCUGUAGCUCAGUUGGUUAGAGCGUCUGGUUGUGGCCCAGAAGGUCGUCGGUUCGAACCCGAUCAGGCACCCCA